Molecule: ribosomal RNA, 136 nt
Filed under: uncultured bacterium
Lineage: Bacteria
Description: partial 16S ribosomal RNA
Source: RNAcentral
GCACGAAGUUAGCCGGGGCUUAUUCUGCGGGUACCGUCAUCAUCGUCCCCGCCAAAAGAGCUUUACAACCCGAAGGCCUUCAUCACUCACGCGGCAUGGCUGGAUCAGGGUUGCCCCCAUUGUCCAAUAUUCCCCA